GACGAACGCUGGCGGUGUGCUUCACACAUGCAAGUCGAACGAGGUAGCAAUACCUAGUGGCGGACGGGUGAGUAACGCGUGGGAAUCUGCCUUUAGAUGGGGGGAUAACGGGUCGAAAGACUCGCUAAUACCGCAUAUGACGAAAGUUGAAAGGAGUAAUCCGUCUAAAGAUGAGCCCGCGUCCGAUUAGCUAGUUGGUAGAGUAAAAGCCUACCAAGGCGACGAUCCGGUAGCUGGUCUGAGAGGAUGAUCAGCCACAAUGGGACUAGAGACACGGCCCAUACUCCUACGGGAGGCAGCAGUGGGAAUUUUACGCAAUGGGCGAAAGCCUGACGUAGCGACACCGCGUGAGCGAAGAAGCCCCUGGGGUGUAAAGCUCUGUCAGCUGGAACGAAAAAAUAGACGGUACCAGCAGAGGAAGCAUCGGCUAACUACGUGCCAGCAGCCGCGGU
This 452-nucleotide ribosomal RNA is filed under the name uncultured bacterium. RNAcentral's name for it is "bacterial SSU rRNA". It matches the Rfam family "Bacterial small subunit ribosomal RNA", at positions 28 to 521 of the family's 1533-position model. The record is from RNAcentral.